UACGUAGGCAGCAAGCGUUGUUCGGAUUUACUGGGCGUAAAGGGUGUGUAGGCGGUCUUCUAAGUUUGGUGUGAAAUCUCCCGGCUCAACUGGGAGGGUGCGCCGAAAACUGGAAGGCUAGAGUGCGGGAUGGGAGAGUGGAAUUCCUGGUGUAGCGGUGAAAUGCGUAGAUAUCAGGAGGAACACCUGUGGUGUAGACGGCUCUCUGGACCGCAACUGACGCUGAGACACGAAAGCGUGGGUAGCAAACAGG
Molecule: ribosomal RNA, 253 nt
Filed under: uncultured bacterium
Lineage: Bacteria
Description: partial 16S ribosomal RNA
Rfam family: Bacterial small subunit ribosomal RNA
Source: RNAcentral